Molecule: microRNA, 22 nt
Filed under: Pristionchus pacificus
Lineage: Eukaryota; Metazoa; Nematoda; Chromadorea; Rhabditida; Neodiplogasteridae
Description: ppc-miR-2238c
Source: miRBase by way of RNAcentral
AAUGACAGAACAAGUGCGCGAG